RNAcentral lists this non-coding RNA (45 nucleotides) under Trypanosoma brucei brucei. The record is from RNAcentral. Lineage: Eukaryota; Euglenozoa; Kinetoplastea; Trypanosomatida; Trypanosomatidae.
ACAUGCAUACAGAGACUAUAAUAAGUACGAUGAUGAUAAGUUAAA